RNAcentral lists this ribosomal RNA (552 nucleotides) under Katara connexa. RNAcentral describes it as "partial large subunit ribosomal RNA". Lineage: Eukaryota; Metazoa; Arthropoda; Insecta; Diptera; Syrphidae. The record is from RNAcentral.
UAGAGGUUAAGCCCGAUGAACCUGAAUAUCCAUUAUGGAAAAUUCAUCACUAAUACUAUAAUAUUAAUGAAUAUUAUAAGAAUAGUGUGCAAUUUUUUCAUAUAAGGACAUUGUAAUCUGUUAAUAUAUUAAAUAUUUAUUAAAAGAUUUUAUACAUAAGUUUAUUCAAAUUAGUUAUUUUCGGAUUUCUAACAUAAAAUAAAAGUAUUUAAUUUAAUAAAUUAUUGACAGAUUUAUUUAUAUAUAGUGCUUAAAUUUUGAAAGAAAUUUUAUAAUAAUAUAAUAAUUUAAUUUAUUAUAUUUAUUAUAUGCACUUAUAUGAUUGACAAUGCGAUAGAUUCAGGAUACCUUCGGGACCCGUCUUGAAACACGGACCAAGGAGUCUAACAUAUGUGCAAGUCAUUGGGUAUUUUUAAUAAAACCUAAUGGCAUAAUUAACUUAACUGUUUUUAAAUGGGAUUAGUUUAUAUUUUAUUAUGAAAUAUAAAUUCAAUCCCGGGGCGUUCUAUACAGUUAUGUAUAAUGAUAUUUAUAUUAUUUAUACCUCUAACU